GCGGUCUCUCCGUCGCACCGAACACUUACAAGGACGUUGUGUGCGUCGUGUGAUAGAAACCGGUAACAACGGCGCGAUUAUCUUCCUCUCUUUUUCCUUAAAAAUUGCCGCUCGUGUUUUCUCGCUUUAUAACGUAAUAAUAUUGCAGUGUUCCUUCCCUCAUUUCUAUUAUUCUACCUCGUUUCCAUUAUUUUUGCGUCGUCUUUCGUGCCUCGAUUAUUGUGCAAGAAGAGGAGGAUUCCACUCUACGCCGAUUCUGGAAUCUUAUGAAACGAACUUCGUCCACAUUUUUCAGAUAAUUUUGCCUCGGGAGAUACCCGGCCACCUGCAUCAGAAACCGUUAUCUCGCGGUUAUCUAAUCGGCUCGGUAAUCGCAGUCGCGUUUUUUCCUUGGUUUUCUAAAAACCUGGGGAAGUUCAGGUUGUUAUAAACUUGUCGGUGAUCGACGAUUGAGCGAAAUGAAGACUGUGUUCGUCGGUAGUUUCUUGUACUCGCGUGUGCUGUGAGACGGUGACCGGUAAGAACUUGUAAGGUGUGCAAAGCCUGCCUCGAAAGAGGAGGAGGAAAUUAUCUCCACACUAGAGUCAUGUAGUUUAUCAGGAUUAUGAAAUUCCCCUGGUCUUCCAAGCGGCCUGCAGGGGCAGGUGAUGCACCGCCAACAAGGUUGUCGUAAGUUUUGCAAAGAAGGAGGCAAAAUAAGAAACUGGGACUGUUUCGAACGGAAAUUGAACAAGGAACUCCACCCGAAAUGCAACUCGCCGCCACCCCCAGGCCUCAUCCACCCCCCGUACCGCCUAGACCGAGUCGUCAGGUCGUAGCCGAGGCGCUUAAGAGGUCACCGAGGCCUCCGUGUCCGACUAGACAAGCGCCGCCGCCGCCGGAUACGAAGCCAUGGCGAGCCGGGAGGACCGUUGUUUACGAGUCCGCGACGUCGCCGACGUCGGUUAGGAGUGCGGAAGACGAUCGUCAGCAGCGAGAUGAACGGGCGGCGAACCCGCGGGACCAGAACCUCCAACGACUCGGAGGCGGCAAGGCAGUAACGCCUGCGACGAGUGAAAGGGGCGACGGGAAAUCGAGAGGAACGAUUCAGCAGCCUCUGAAACGACCCGCGCCUAUCCAUGUUGCGAGAACCGGGAACGGCGGCGGCAGCAGCAGCAGUGAGAGCGAGAAAAGCGCCGCGCCAAAGUUCAAAAACCAGAGGCACAUACAGGUCGUCAAUGGCGCGGUGGUCUUCGAAGCACAGAAUACGCAGGUCCGUGUACCGCGUUCGGAAUCGAAGGAAUCGAGGCCGGAGGAUGCGGACGAGGCUUUAAAGGAGUCCGCGGAGAUGGAUGCGGCUAAGAACGUUACCACUGUCGACGAUAAGCGCGAGGAAGUCGUUGAAGGACCACGGAGGUCUUCCUCGAGCACGAUAUCAAGCGGCGACGACUGCGCCACCGUUGUCGUCGUCGAUGAUCAGCCCGAAUCGAGACGCGUCGCCUUCGACGAUAGAGUCAAUAUUCAACACGAGGACUGGCUCGAGGCUGGGGUUAGAUAUUCGUCAACUAAGAUCACCCUCUCAGGCGACGAGGUCAACGACGAAGGGGUCGCUCUGACCGAAUCGACGGAGGAUAGGAUCAACGGGCUUGGCUACUUCGACGAGGACGAGGAGAUGAUGAUCACCGCCUUCGAUUUCACUAGCAUAAAAGAAAAAAUAGCCAUGUCGACUCUGCAAGGAUUGCCUCCCUUGCCGAGAAGCUUGAGCGGAUUCAACCUGAGCACCAACAGAGACGGAAACGAGCCGCCACCGCCACCCGCGAGGUCGUCCAGCAGGCCGCAACGCGGGGCAAGAACAUCCCCAGGAGUCGGGGGUCGACCAUCGCCACAGGGUCGACAACUGACCACCCUUGACACCCAGCUGGCAAAGCUUAGGAGAGAAAUGUUCGGCCUGCGUCAACUCGACCUCUCGCUGCUCUCCCAGCUUUGGUCGUUGAACGAGUCGAUCCAGGAGUUUCGACAACUUCUUCAAGAACAAGACGACCGAGCACCAUCCCCGUCGCCGAGCAGCGAAGAGGGCGACGAUACCUCUUACGGUAGCCAUCCACCGCCGCACCCCAGGAGGCCGCCCCCCGUCAGUCAUCACCACAGGGCGCCGAGACCCCCGCCGAGAAACGACUCACCCUCGAGCGAAGAGUACGGCGCCGUAUAAAUGAUGAUGACAAUAACAUAACGAUAACGAUAAUUAUAAUAAUGAUAAUAAUAAUAGUUAAAGAAUUAAAGACUUGCAAAGCAGAGAGAAAACGAAGGAAAACUUAUAUAUAUAUAUUAUAUAAACUAAAGACACGAACCACGUACGCGCUGUUAUCUUAUCGACGUUGCCCUUCGGAAACUUUCUUCCUUCUUUCCACAAAAAUAAUACGUAAUAAUAAUAAUUAUUGUUAUUUUUUAAUCACCCGUUGCACCGUUGUCAGGAAUAUAUUUGUACACGAUGACAAAUCGCGUGUGUGAGGAGAUGCGUGUGGCUCAAUUUUUUUAUUUUUUUUCGUCGUUUUUGUCUGUUGAUUGCGAGCGUUCGACACGGGGCGAAUUUUCCCUCGGAUGAAAAAUAUUUUACUUUUUUUUCAAAAUCGACAGAUAACGAUGCUGAUCUCAAUAUUAAAAUACAAAAUUACGAGCAGCGUACAUUCUCGGAUAUUUAUCGCGCGAGAUGAGGAAGAUGAUGCACAUGCGGGACGAUCAAAGCGUCGUUUUUAUUUAUUUUUAUUUAUUUUUUUUUUUUUUUUAUCUUCAAUUUCAAACCAUCCGCUUUUGCCGAACAAGAGUAUUGAAUAUAAUGAGCUAGGAAGAACGUGUACGUCGCGCGAAAUUUGUACCGUUUUGAUAUUCGUGAGAGUACGCAAUAAGACCGUGGAGUCCGGUAAGUUUAAUACGCUCCGUGAAUUUUUAACCGUAGGUAUUUUACGGGUGUAUUUUCGUCGGUUUAUUUACGUAUUCGCAUCACGACCGUCAGGUGAGGAGGUACAUAUCAUACCUACUCUUCGGUCAUUCGGCGCGAUGUAAAUUUUCCUCGCUUACUUUUUUCGGCAACGUGAAUGCUCGCUCUUUAUUUCCUUGAAAAAAAAAAACAACGACGCGUUUGUUUGUCCCGGCUCAAUCACUAGUGAGACUAAUUCGACACGGCUUUAUAAGUAAAUGUCUUUUUCAUUGCAACAAUGAGUACACAAUACGGCGUAUUUAUUUACAAAACAGUUACGAUUCCGAGUAAACUAAAAAAAUCCAAUUCACAAACGUCGCACGGAUGAAGAAUUAUCAUCCGCUUUAAUUUGUACCCAUUGUUGCAGUUUAACACCACGGAUACGGUAUUGUAAAAUAUUUUUAAUUUCAUAUGAUUGUUUCGUAGCGAUUCUUUAAAUCGAAUAUAUUGUACAAUUGUAUUUUCAUUUAUUAAUUACUCUCCUAAACUGAUUUUUCAAUCCAAAUCCAAAUUUUGAGGUUCUCAGUGCUCGCACUAAUCCUGAAUCUGACAAUGAAAACAUGCAAUAAUCUUUGCUGCACCAUGCUUAUUGAUUUUUAAUUAUCUUCGAUGAAACCAUUUGACAUUCCCUGCAUCGAUGAACCUAAAAAGUGAUCAAAUUUACAAUAUAUAAUAUAACAUCGUAAUCAUCGCUCCAAGUAAUCGCAUAAUAAUCCCUCACGGUGCUCUCGAGGAUUACGUAUAAUAAAGCUGAUUCCUGAUAACGUACACUAAUAGUAAUGAUGAUAUACCGCAGUGUAUAAUAUAUAAACCGACCUAACUUAAAUUAAAUUAUAACUCAACGAUAUAUAUAUUUCUUGGAUAAUCUUUUAUACGAUACUUGAUUUGUUACAUAAAAUAAUAUCGUAUAGUACGUACACGAUGUUUUAAUAAUAAGUAGUAACUUGUAUGCACGGUACCGUGAAAAACAAGAAGAAUAACAAGGAUAAACAAAAACAACAAGGAUGACAAACCAUGCGAUAUUUAAAUAAAACACACACGCUGAACGUAAAGUGGAGUCCCAGUGUCGAGAUACGGCCGUGUGCGAUGAUCCGCGCACAUACACCUAUACACGCAUAUAUAAGUGCCCAUAUUAUAUGACCUUUCACAAAUACCGUUGUUCCAUUUCGAGAGACUGGGCAGUGCGUAUAACGUAUCGUACCUACGCGCCUGCCUCUUGUUGUGCGUGUAUACGCGGUGAGUUGCGAGCCCGGUUCUCUCCGCUCGGCGUGGGUACGAGGGCCGAGAACCGUACGUAGUAAAACGGGCCCGAUGGAAGGGCGCGGGCCCCGAGGAAGCGGGGCUAAAGACUGAGACGGAGAGAAGGGAGACUUCGAUGCCGCUCUCGGUGGCUGCGUGGACCGAGGCUGCCUCCUUGCCUCCAACCGUAGCGAGAGAACGGAUCUAAGAGAUGUUUUUUGUGCCCCGCUACGCCCCACCUCUCACAUCUUGCCCCCACGCUCACUUUUCAUUCGAGGAAAACGUAUGCGCAACGAGUCUUCAACAAUUUUAUACACG
RNAcentral lists this unclassified non-coding RNA (4510 nucleotides) under Neodiprion pinetum (white pine sawfly). RNAcentral describes it as "anaphase-promoting complex subunit 11-like, transcript variant X1". Lineage: Eukaryota; Metazoa; Arthropoda; Insecta; Hymenoptera; Diprionidae. The record is from RNAcentral.